CCCGAGUGGUAACUGGGAGAGGGCUCCCCCUAAUAAACUGUGUUGCUUGGCCUGAAGUCCAGACCUCCCUGGGGAACAGACAAUCCUAGGUCAGGACUGCAGAAUGGCUGCUACAAGUUGCAGGCCUCGCGAUGAUUGGAGCGGGGAGAGAGCCUGCGAGCGGGUGCUGAGGUCCUUCUCCUCUCGCGGUGCUCGCGUCCCGGCUAGGUCCCCUCCACCGCUGCUGUGGGCGCCUGCAUUCUGCGCUAGGUGGCGAAAUGCUAUGGGGCUCCCCUAUUCGGGGGAAUGCGGUAGUGAUGUAUAAGGUAUGAAAGAUGUGGCCUGCAGAGAGCCGGCACUAUCUCUGCCGCUGCUGCUGCUGCUGCUGCCGCUGCCGCCACUGCCGCCGCUGCUGCGGGCGGAGCUGCUGGGAGUGAGCAUCCCCUGUCCGGGAUACCCAGCUCCUCGGCAUCUCCCGCGCGCCCAGGCCCCACACGGACCUGCCAGCCCCAGGGAACAAAAGCAGAGCCCGCUCGCCCUCCCUGCAGUCAGAGGAUGAGUCGAGAGGGCUGAGCGGAGAGUGCGGUCCUCGGCGGCUGGAAGAGAAGGGAACUGAGGCUUGGAGAAGCAGAGGAGACUUACCCAGGAACCCGCUGGCCAGUAACUGAUGAGCCUUAGGCUUGAACCCGGGUCUGUGACAACUGAAAGGUAGGCUUUCCACAGUAACCCGCCCCACGCGCACUCAGAUGAGGGCACGGCUGCAGGGGCAGCUCUGCGCAGAGCCUGGAGCGGCACAGCUCUUGUUGUGUAGCAUUUCCUUACACCUGGACGUGUUUCAUCAGUGAGUCAGCUUUUAAAACAGAAUUGUUUCUGAAUACCCUGGGACAGCUCCUUUCUUCCCUGUGGAAAAGAGGAAGACGGUCACAGAAGGGGGACCGUGGGCCCAGUGACGUCCACAGGUGGAGCAGAAGGAAAAGUCAGAGGGAGGAAGCCCUGAGCUUCAUUUAAACCUCUCAGUCCUGAUUCUAAAGCAAAGAGACAAUAACAACAAUGAGAACAGCUAACCUGUCUGAGAACAUUCACUGAAGCCUGGACCAGGAGCCUCUCAUUUGAUCCUCUCAACAACCCUAUGAGGUACAGAUGAUUGUUCCCAUUUUCCAGAUGAGGAAAUCGAGGCUAAAAACCUCAAGAUUUUAAAAAGCUAUUUAAAGGCUUUAAAUACGUAGUUUUAAAAUAGGCGGUCUGGAGGCCCUGUUCUGGCUGCAGGCUAUCUCCGACCUCAUUGUCUGCCCUGCUUCCCUUCCUCUGGCCACGGGGACCUGUUUUCUGUUCCGAAAACACAGUACGCAGGCAUCCUUCUCCAGGAGCUGCACCUGCUCGUCUCUGGCCCAGGAAUGUUCUGCUUGAACACGUUUGCAUGGAUCGCUCCCUCUCCUCGUGCUGGUCUCCUCUCAAAUGUCCCCUCAGGAAACUUUCCCUGGACACCACCAGUCAUGCCCGGUCCCCUUAACGUGGCUCGGCUGUUUUCCUACCUCUCAUUCUAUUCUGUGUCUGUCUGUCUGUUCAUUGUUUGGCCUCCUCGUAGAACAUAAAUGUCACAAGCAAGGAUUUUGUCUGAUUUAUUAACUGAUGUACCCAAAGCUUAGAACACUGCCUGGCUCAUAAUGAGCUUUCACACAUUGGUUGAAUGAAUGUUUUGUUAAAUGCACAAUUCAGUAGUCACAGGUUGAUUUCGUUGUAAGAACUUUCACGUAACUGAAUUCACAAAGCACAGACUCGAGCUGGCAACAUUGAGUCAUGUGUCUUUUCCACCCCUCACACUUACUGAGCCCCGCCCCCCAGGCUUGGGGAGGCACAGACCGCGAGAUGCAGCUCCAGCCUUCCUAGAAGCAGAGAGCAGCGAAAGAGCAAAGCUGGUGUAGAGACAGCACGCUGUGGUGUGGAGGAGCACAAGGUGACAGGGGACUCCCAAGGAGGAAAAUGUGGCCUCUGUCCUCAAGGCCUCCUACUGAGUAAAUGAAAUCUAUCAUUUGUCCUUUAGGGUGAGCUUGUUUAUUCUGUGAUUAGGAAAACAAGAAGGAAAUGAUCAGCUGAUGUGACUUUAUUUUUCCACCAGAAAUAUCCCUUACACAGGCUGGAAGGGAAAGGAGAUGCCAGGAGUAGGGCGCGCCUCCACUCCGGGUGUCAAGGAGAAGGAAGCAGGGUCUUUUGCUGUGUUAUUGACACUCCAGAGCACCACUUAUCAAAGAUGACAACUUAGAGCUUAGGGUUCAUUUCCUCCUCUAAACCACUUGACUGGUUUUUGCCAGAGAAGAGCAAAUGUCAGCCUCUCCCAUGGUUGGCAGAGCAGGCGUAGUAAGAGCCAUCCUCCUCAGAGCUUUCAGACAGCGGGUCCAAACCUCUUGGUGUAGCUCACCAAGGCCUGGAGCCUCGGCCCUGCCCACCACUCUGUGUGUUCUGUCCCCUCUGCACACGUGCUGGGCCCAGCAGUGCCCUGAGUGCGCUGUGCCGUUUUCCCUCCCUGGUUGUCUGCCCAGGCCCCUCUUUCUGGAAUCCCCUUCCUCUCUUCUUCCUUUGACUGUCUUCCCCAGUUCAUCCCUGUCAUCCUUCAAGCGUGCAGCUCAGUUGAAAUCUUCUCCAGGAAGCUUUCCCUGACUCCUUCCUGUCUCGCCCCUUCUCCCACUCCCAGCCCCACUACUAGGCUCCCAUAGACCCUUAGAGUGCCUUGUACUUAGCCAUCUUGAUGCUAAAAGUUUUCUCUGUACUCAUGUCUCCUCCCUCUUUAGACAGGAAGCUCUUAGAGGACAAGAAUUUUGUUUACGUUUGUCUUUUUAAAAAAUCUCCGUUCUCCUAGAAUUUUCUCCCAGGACCAGGCAAUUAAUGCUUAUUGAAUUCUGCAGACUGAUUAAGGACCUGUAUAGGACCUUCAAUCUUCCAUGCUUGGCUACCGAGGAACAGCUCUCGUUGUGCAGCAUUUUGGUUUUGGGUAUAGAUAAAUCAGUGACUCAAAGAGCUUAAAGGAAAAACACGGUACCCACCAGCCAGGCUGGGUUUGGUGUGAACACUCCAUAUCAGAAGGGAAAGCAGGGGAAUGGGGCCCACAGCACCAUGCAGCCAGGAGGCAGGAGACCUGGACGCUGGUCUUGGCCCAGCCACUAUCUUGCUGCGUGCCAAGUCAGGGCCUUUCUCUGGGCUUCUUUUACCUCCUCUGAAAAAAGGAGCACACCACGUGUGGACAGUGGCCGGGAUCCCCUGCAGAUCUAAAAUCCUACAACGCUGUGUUCCUGCUCACGGAUCACACACUUUUUCAUGGGCUCAAAGUUUGCAUUACAGUGUGUUGCCAUCGUGAAAGGUACACUCCUUUACUGCAUCUCAUUUGGGCUAGGAAUCAAGCCUCUGACUUCAGCAGAGAAACUUGGAAGACCCCACCGGUCACGUUUCUCAGAAGAAAGUACAUUCAAAUGGGGGAAGAAAAGAGAUGGAGAGUUAUCCAUUCACUGCUUUUUCAAGGCUCAAAAGUGUAGUUUAUUCUUUGUACUGCAUUUUUCCACAUAUUUUCUCAUUUAAUCUUACUGGAAUCCCUUUAAGGUAGCCAGGAUGGGCAACUAGGUAGCCAUUAAUGCCAUUCACCAGAAGCUUCUAGCUCUCCAUUCUUCUGAGAACACAGUAGGAGCAUGAUUCCUGGCCUGUGGUGGUGAGGGUACCGUGCAACCAGUCUUGUCCAAGAAGCUCUGAGCAUUUAAGUGCAGGUACGAGGCCAUCUUGAGUUGUUUGUUCCCUCUGCCACAGGGGCCAGAAGUAUUCCAGUCAGUGGCUGUUGCAACAGCCUGGAUCCUGGAGUGAGGUCAGAGAAGAGCCCCCCAGAUGAACUAAGAGAGACACAUAGCAUGAGCAAGUGAUUUUAAUUGUUUUAAGUCACUGACAUUUUGGUGCUAUUUGUUACUGCAUCACAACUUAACAUAUCUUCACUGACACAGGCAUUAGCCCCAUUUUUCACAUGGAGAAAUUGAAUCUUGGUGCAGUAAAGUACACAGACUUUCUCAGGGUCGUAAAAACCUCGUAAGUGCCCAAGCCUGGGAUUUUGAACUCAAGUCUUCUGACUGCACAUUAGUGCUAUUUUCUCUAUACCACACUGCUUCCUUAAUUAGCAUUAGGUAUUAAACUUGAUUUCAUUGGAAGCCACCCUGUGGGUCCUGGUUUUCAUGAGUAAUCUUUGGAAGGUAAAAAGGGAGAGUGACAAGAUCACAGACUUUGGAGGUAAGCAGAUGUGAACUCGAGUCCCGGCUCUGCUAAUGAAUAGCUUGGUGUCCUUUGCGUGUUGCUAAAAUGUGGUCUCCUAGGUCUUCUGACUCACCCAAGUCUGCAGAGAGUGGAAAUUCUGCACAGUAGGGAAUACUUACUGCUAAUGGUAUAAUAUCAAGCAUCAGUGGCUGCAUGGGUAGAUAUAUUGGGGUGUGGUCUGCCUUCCCAACAUUCUCAAUCAGAGAGGCUCAGUGACUUGCCUGAGGUCAUGCAGUAAGGGGCAGAGCCUCAGUCGCAACCCAGGCCUCUCUGAUUCCUUCCAGUAUGUCCCACUGCCUCCCAGAUGAAACGAGCUCUGCUGAAACCCUCAGCCCGUGAGGAAGGAGGGGCGCAGCCUGAGCUCAAUGAUUGACUUCACUGUGGAGAGCCUUCCCAUUUCUGUUCCUGUUUGUCGUGGAGUGUCAAGUUGAUUUACUCUUUGAAUAUUCCUCUGCUUUCUCUUACUCCGGCUGAGCGUUGAGAACAGCAGGCAUUGCCUUGGCAAGGUUACAGGAUAAACUUGCUGCUUUUAGGACAUCUGCAUCCAGCAAAACCUUUAUUUUCUCUCCCCUGGGCAUAAUCUUGGAAAAACACAUCUGUUGUUCCGGGUGCGUACCUGGCUGGCCUUAUUUUUCCUCCCUUGGAUGGGGAAAGAUUCUGUCAAGAUAUGAGCAAGAGUUUUCACACCCUCUGAAGUCACAGACCCUUUGUAUAUUAAAAAUAUAAACCCCUCGGAAUCUUGAUUGAAUUGUAAGGUUUUAUUUAAAAGCUGAGAGCACCACCUGUGUCCCAGCAUCCUCCAGUUCUCGGGUGUUGGAGUCUCUGGAGAUGCUUUCAGGGUCUCUCCUGACUGAGUCACUGAAGUGUGGGCAGCGGUGGAGGUUUGAGAGCGCAGUAAGAUGCCUGGUGGAGGUUUGAGAGCGCGUGUCCGGAUGCCUGCCCCAGGACACGUCUCCCGCCCCUUUCCUCUUGCUAAGCCACAUUUACACCUGGCUGCCUCCAAACUCAUCCUCUGCAGGGAGCUUUCCAGGACCUGCGGAGGAGAAACAGAGACCAGGCUAAGUUAAAAACUCAGUUCUGCUUCCUUCCUUCAUUCAUUUUAGAACAAUUAUUGGGCACCUACUCUGUGCCAGGCUCUGUUGUAGCCGCUGAAGGAGCACCGGUAAUCCACGCCCUCACCUCACUGCAGGUUAAACAGUGGAGAUUCAAAAAGCAACAAGGCAAUUACAAUAUGGUGUGACUGGUUAAUUAACGAGUAACUCACCAUUCAUUUAACAACACUGAGGGCUGAUCAUAUGCCGAGCACUGGGUUAAGUGCUGGGAAUGCAGCAGUGAGUCAAGUGGACAAACUUCUCUGGCCUCCUGAAGCUUCCCUUCAGGUGACGCAGGCAGGUAAUACAGUAGAUAAGUGUGUGAUGCAGUGGUACGUGGUAAUGAUGAGCACCAUGAAGACAAACAUGGGACAAUAAGUGGUGAGAGUGUGAUGGAGGGCAUGGUUUCAGCUGCGUGUCUGAGGGUUCUCCGAGGAGGUGAUGUCCGAGGGAGCCCUGUGAUGACAGCAGGGCCACGAGACUGGGUGUGCUGUGUCCUGUGGGGGCAUCUAACCCAUGUCCGCUGUGACUUUGGUUGAACCACUUGAUUUCUCUGAGCUUUCAUCUCUUCCUGUGGAG
Molecule: long non-coding RNA, 5930 nt
Filed under: Equus caballus (horse)
Lineage: Eukaryota; Metazoa; Chordata; Mammalia; Perissodactyla; Equidae
Description: lncRNA (ENSECAG00000052771.1)
Source: RNAcentral